This is a long non-coding RNA of Protobothrops mucrosquamatus (brown spotted pit viper), 1006 nucleotides long. RefSeq lists it as uncharacterized. NCBI's taxonomy places the organism in Eukaryota, Metazoa, Chordata, Lepidosauria, Squamata, Viperidae. The record is from RefSeq and is a predicted model, not a curated record. The transcript has 3 exons.
GGCAAUUCAAUUCUUGUCAUAAGUAUCUCUGUAAGGGCAGUUCUUCACACUUGACAGACUAGCAUGAAAUGGAGAACUGAAAGCUAUGGGUAGUGAGUUCAGUUAUUUUCCCAAUCUAUGCAAACUACCAUUUGCGGCACUCUUUGGACAAAAAGUCUUCAAGCUCAGAUGACAUUAUAAAAUGAAUGUCAACCCCACAGAAGUAAAAUCUGUUCUGAAGAGUUUGCUAUAUAUCUAUAUGCAAGACAGGGAAAGGAAACUGAAUUAUACAAAUCCAUCUCUUGUACAGCAGGAAGAAAUCUCAGCUUCUCUAUACAUCCUGAUUAUUAUUGGGUUUUUUGGCUUUCUCCUUUUCUCUAUGAUGCUCAGCAAUAUUGUUCUCAGGCAGCGGGAAAACUACAUAGACCAUCUCUUUCAAAAUAAAUUUCCAGGAAACAGGAGGAUAACUUCCUGCAACAGCAUAAUGAUUAAUGCUGGAAAGGGUGUUACAACAGAAGCUAACAUAGAUUACCAGUGCCAAAAGACUGACAGUUGCCCAAUGGCAGAGAUUCCAAGCAUGGAAUCAGUGCAGAAAAAUGUAUGAAGGUGCAGUGUCAUGACCUAUUUUUAACUGUGGAUUAUUUUGUUGCUGUCUAAAGCAUUAGAUCUGAUUGCACUAACUUGGUCCAUUCCUGGCAAGCCUCAUUUGGAGCAACCUUCCUAUCUACAGUGCAAGAAAAAAAACUUGUUUAUUUCUAAACUGCAUUAUAGUUUUCCUAUUCUAAGCUCCAUUACGUUUCCACUAAUAAUUUGGUAAUCGAGUUUAAACAUGUAUGAUUUCUUUAUAUUCAUGUUCAUCUGCAGUUUUAUGAUGUGUCCUACAUGGAAUAAGUAAGCCAUCUUCCUUGUUUCUUAAUUGUGUGUUUUGUGAAAACUUUUGUUCUUGUAACUGUGUUAUGUUGUGGAGACCUCUUCACAAUCUAAGAGAAAAUACAUAAAAGCUGAAAGAGUCGAAUCAAACAAACGU